UUGCCCUACGGGAGGCAGCAGUGAGGAAUAUCGGUCAAUGGGCGCGGGCCUGAACUAGCCAAGUCGCGUGAGGGAAGACGGUCCUAUGGAUUGUAAACCUCUUUUGUCGGGGAGCAAAAGACGCCACGCGUGGCGUUCCGAGAGUACCCGAAGAAAAAGCAUCGGCUAACUCCGUGCCAGCAGCCGCGGUAAUACGGAGGAUGCGAGCGUUAUCCGGAUUUAUUGGGUUUAAAGGGUGCGCAGGCGGAAGAUCAAGUCAGCGAUAAAAUUGAGAGGCUCAACCUCUUCGAGCCGUUGAAACUGGU
RNAcentral lists this ribosomal RNA (305 nucleotides) under uncultured bacterium. RNAcentral's name for it is "bacterial SSU rRNA". It matches the Rfam family "Bacterial small subunit ribosomal RNA", at positions 334 to 637 of the family's 1533-position model. The record is from RNAcentral.